This 1731-nucleotide long non-coding RNA is filed under the name Panax ginseng (ginseng). RNAcentral's name for it is "long non-coding RNA (PGIN_LNC003690)". The record is from RNAcentral. Lineage: Eukaryota; Viridiplantae; Streptophyta; Magnoliopsida; Apiales; Araliaceae.
GAGACCAUAUCUUUUAAUAGAAUGAUAAUGGAAUUUGUACUCAUGAAAAAGAUCUAUUGUAUAUUUUCUAAGGCACCUCAAAACUGGAAGCUUGUCCCUGUAAUUUGUUUGGUUAUUUCGUGUAGAGGUCAGAAACCCUGUCUGAAAUUUUGGGUUGUGUAGAGGUCAGAAACCGUGUCCCUAUAAGAUGGAUGAUAACAGUUUUUCAAAAGAAAACAGAGACCCUGUCUGUAAACCAAUGUAUUGGUACAUUCCAAGCAAAGAAAAAUACAUAGUCUAAUAUCCAAAAGUAAAAAAAUACAUAGUCUAAUAUCCAAAAUCAUCAAAUUACAUCCAAAAUCACAUCCUCAAAGUUACAUAAAAAAUACAGGAUGCGUGGCUAUAAUGGCUUUAUCUUCAGGACGAACAAUAGGCAUGUAAUGGCUACACUGAAGAACAUCUCCUCGACUGUUUACAAUCUGAAAAUAUGUUCAAAGUCAUUAAUUGUUUUUCACAGAUACAAUCUGAACAUAACUUGAUACAUCUACAUAAAAUACAAAAUCAGAUAACUUGCAAACAAGAAGUUACGGAAAAUUGCACAACAUGGCAACCAUACUAUUAUGACAUAAUUGCAGUCUACUAUACUAUUAUCAGAUAACAAGAAGUUUACACAUCAUCACUUACAUUAAAAUUGCAAAAAACAAUGAUCUUACUUACUGUUAUCAUAAUUGUAGUCUACCAUUCUGUUAUCAGAUAACAAGAAGUUUACACAUCAUCACUUACAUUAAAAUUGCAGAAAACAAUGAUCUUACUUACUGUUAUCAUAAUUGCAGUCUACCAUAGUCUAAAUGACAAGCCCAACAUGUUAAUAAAAGUUAUAGUGAUAUUCCUGAAAUGAAAAACAAAAUGUAAAUUUCAAGUUAUGUAUGAUACACUAAUUAUGUAUGAGAUGAAGAAAGGAAUUUCAAGUUACUUGUCUUGCCGCUCUAAUUUGUUUAUGGAACUGUUAAAUUAUGAGAAAUGGUUUGAAGCAGCAAUAAAGUGUUUAUAUGCUUAUUUAGUUGCACUUGUAUAAUUCUGGUGGUUGGCCUCCUCUGUGUCUGUGUCUCUGUGGUGGUGGAAUUAGGACUAGGAGAGCCAAUUAUGGACAGAACCCUUUUCAUACAAUUAUUAAAAGAGAAAUUACGAGCUUUGAGACCUAAUACAUACAUUCAUUGUAUCUAGACAAUUACACAUUCGCACGCUUACGGAGUAAUCUAGUCGUACUGGUACACCAAGAGGAACAUCGCACCUGGACGAUAUCUAUCCAUGAUCCAUCCAUAUAUGAAUUUAUACUAAAAUAUAAUAAAACAAAUAUCAAAUCAUUUAAUUAGUCCCGAAUUGAGUAAUUCAAGUUUAUUGAAACAUACCCCAAAAGUUUUUUUGCUCUGUGAAUUCGCGAAUCGGAUCUAGUGAUUACUGCCCUUUUGCUUCAGUUCCAUUUGAGAUAAUCGGAAUCUAGUGAUUACUGCCCCUUCGCGAAAUGGCAGAGUUUGAGGUGAGGGAGUAUGAGAUCUCUUUGCUUUAGAUCUGCGAAAUUCGUGAAAUGAAUGUAAUUGAGAGGAUCUCUUUGCUUCGUUUGCUUCAGCUGUUAAAUUCGUCUCGAUUUUAUUUAGAAAUGGUCUCUUUUUGACCCGCGUGUGACCCGGAUCUCAGCCUAUGACCUGCGUGUUCCCUUUGGUCCGUCUGUUGGUCCGUCCAAAUGGUCCGUCU